ACUCUUCUGAGGAGUCCCACAAUAGGACGAAACGACCUUCUAGUGCUUCCAGGAU
Schistosoma margrebowiei is the source of this 55-nucleotide non-coding RNA. The record is from Rfam. Lineage: Eukaryota; Metazoa; Platyhelminthes; Trematoda; Strigeidida; Schistosomatidae.